This 253-nucleotide ribosomal RNA is filed under the name uncultured bacterium. Its description in RNAcentral is "partial 16S ribosomal RNA". It matches the Rfam family "Bacterial small subunit ribosomal RNA", at positions 524 to 776 of the family's 1533-position model. The record is from RNAcentral.
UACGAAGGGGGCUAGCGUUGCUCGGAAUCACUGGGCGUAAAGCGCACGUAGGCGGCUUUUUAAGUCAGGGGUGAAAUCCUGGAGCUCAACUCCAGAACUGCCUUUGAUACUGAGAAGCUGGAGUCCGGGAGAGGUGAGUGGAACUGCGAGUGUAGAGGUGAAAUUCGUAGAUAUUAGGAAGAACACCAGUGGCGAAGGCGGCUCACUGGUCCGGUACUGACGCUGAGGUGCGAAAGCGUGGGGAGCAAACAGG